AGUGAACGCUGGCGGUAGGCCUACACAUGCAAGUCGAACGGCAGCACCGUAAGAGCUUGCUCUUACGGGUGGCGAGUGGCGGACGGGUGAGGAAUACAUCGGAAUCUACUUUUUCGUGGGGGAUAACGUAGGGAAACUUACGCUAAUAACGCAUACGACCUACGGGUGAAAGCAGGGGAUCUUCGGACCUUUCGCGAUUGAAUGAGCCGAUGUCGGAUUAGCUAGUUGGCGGGGUAAAGGCCCACCAAGGCGACGAUCCGUAGCUGGUCUGAGAGGAUGAUCAGCCACACUGGAACUGAGACACGGUCCAGACUCCUACGGGAGGCAGCAGUGGGGAAUAUUGGACAAUGGGCGCAAGCCUGAUCCAGCCAUACCGCGUGGGUGAAGAAGGCCUUCGGGUUGUAAAGCCCUUUUGUUGGGAAAGAAAAGCAGCAGGUUAAUACCCCGCUGUUCUGACGGUACCCAAAGAAUAAGCACCGGCUAACUUCGUG
This 491-nucleotide ribosomal RNA is filed under the name uncultured bacterium. RNAcentral's name for it is "partial 16S ribosomal RNA". It matches the Rfam family "Bacterial small subunit ribosomal RNA", at positions 29 to 507 of the family's 1533-position model. The record is from RNAcentral.